GGAGCAAUCUUUGUUCUGCAUUUGGGAUGAGUCGUAGUUAAAUCUCACGACGAUUAUCGAUUGGAGGGCAAGUCUGGUGCCAGCAGCCGCGGUAAUUCCAGCUCCAAUAGCGUAUAUUAAAGUUGUUGCGGUUAAAAAGCUCGUAGUUGGAGUUCUGCCAGGUGACUUUCGUCCGCCCAAGUGGUGUGUACAGGGAGUGCAUCUGGCCCUUUCAAGGGGAACGUGUCUGCACUUCAUUGUGUGGUGCGAGAUCCUUGACUUUUACUUUGAGGAAAUAAGAGUGUUCCAAGCAGGCUCUCGUCGUGCAUAGCUCAGCAUGGAAUAAUAGCAUUGGACUUCGUUUCUACGCUGUUGGUUGCAAGAAGCGAGGUAAUGAUUAAUAGGGACAGUUGGGGGUAUUCGUAUUUCAUUGUCAGAGGUGAAAUUCUUGGAUUUCUGAAAGACGAACUACUGCGAAAGCAUUUACCAAGGAUGUUUUCAUUAAUCAAGAACGAAAGUUAGGGGAUCGAA
Molecule: ribosomal RNA, 510 nt
Filed under: uncultured dinoflagellate
Lineage: Eukaryota; Dinophyceae
Description: bacterial SSU rRNA
Rfam family: Eukaryotic small subunit ribosomal RNA
Source: RNAcentral